This 468-nucleotide ribosomal RNA is filed under the name uncultured bacterium. RNAcentral's name for it is "partial 16S ribosomal RNA". It matches the Rfam family "Bacterial small subunit ribosomal RNA", at positions 28 to 507 of the family's 1533-position model. The record is from RNAcentral.
GACGAACGCUGGCGGCGUGCUUAACACAUGCAAGUCGAACGGAAAGGCCCUGCUUUUGUGGGGUGCUCGAGUGGCGAACGGGUGAGUAACACGUGAGUAACCUGCCCUUGACUUUGGGAUAACUUCAGGAAACUGGGGCUAAUACCGGAUAGGAGCUCCUGCUGCAUGGUGGGGGUUGGAAAGUUUCGGCGGAUGGGGAUGGACGCGCGGCUUAUCAGCUUGUUGGUGGGGUAGUGGCUUACCAAGGCUUUGACGGGUAGCCGGCCUGAGAGGGUGACCGGCCACAUUGGGACUGAGGUACGGACCAGAGUCCUACGGGAGGCAGCAGUGGAGAGUAUUGCACAAUGGGCGGAAGCCUGAUGCAGCAACGCCGCGUGCGGGAUGACGGCCUUCGGGUUGUAAACCGCUUUCGCCUGUGACGAAGCGUGAGUGACGGUAAUGGGUAAAGAAGCACCGGCUAACUACGUG